RNAcentral lists this ribosomal RNA (451 nucleotides) under Paramunida stichas. RNAcentral's name for it is "partial 16S ribosomal RNA". It matches the Rfam family "Bacterial large subunit ribosomal RNA", at positions 1946 to 2597 of the family's 2925-position model. Lineage: Eukaryota; Metazoa; Arthropoda; Malacostraca; Decapoda; Munididae. The record is from RNAcentral.
CUGUGCAAAGGUAGCAUAAUCAUUAGCUUUUUAAUUGAAGGCUUGUAUGAAGGGUCUGACAAAGAAAAAGCUGUCUUUAAAAUUAUUUUUGAAUUUAACUUUUAAGUGAAAAGGCUUAAAUAAAUUUAAGGGACGAUAAGACCCUAUAAAUCUUUAUAUUAAAUUAUUAUUCUGAAUUUUAAUAUUUGUUUAGAUUAUUAGUUAUAAUAAUAAAUAUUUUGUUGGGGUGACGAGAAUAUAAAAUUAACUGUUCUUAAAAUAAACAAAGUUAUUUGUUGAAAAAUUUAUAGAUCCUUUUUAAAGAUUAAAAGUUUAAGUUACUUUAGGGAUAACAGCGUUAUUUUUUUUGAGAGUUCUUAUCGAAAAAAAAGUUUGCGACCUCGAUGUUGAAUUAAAAUUUCUCUACGGUGUAGAAGUUGUGGAAGAGAGUCUGUUCGACUUUUGAAAUUUU